RNAcentral lists this transfer RNA (85 nucleotides) under Anaerolineae bacterium. Its description in RNAcentral is "tRNA-Ser". It matches the Rfam family "tRNA". Rfam says of the family: Transfer RNA (tRNA) molecules are approximately 80 nucleotides in length. Their secondary structure includes four short double-helical elements and three loops (D, anti-codon, and T loops). The record is from RNAcentral. Lineage: Bacteria; Bacillati; Chloroflexota; Anaerolineae. RNAcentral also lists the same sequence under 1 other name.
GGAGAGGUCGCAUAGUGGCCUAGUGCGCUCGCUUGGAAAGCGAGUAGGGGUAACACCCUCGCGGGUUCGAAUCCCGCCCUCUCCG